RNAcentral lists this microRNA (20 nucleotides) under Drosophila virilis. RNAcentral's name for it is "dvi-miR-975-3p". Its record names the gene dvi-miR-975-3p. Lineage: Eukaryota; Metazoa; Arthropoda; Insecta; Diptera; Drosophilidae. The record is from miRBase by way of RNAcentral.
ACAAGAUGUAUGGGGUGUCU